Non-coding RNA from Amborella trichopoda, 1409 nucleotides. Lineage: Eukaryota; Viridiplantae; Streptophyta; Magnoliopsida; Amborellales; Amborellaceae. The record is from RefSeq and is a predicted model, not a curated record.
CUCCCCCAUAUCUCUCUCUACGUUCUUUUGCUCCCCCAUCUCUCUCUCUCUUCACACAUUCUCUUUCAUCUUUCUGGGCAAAUCAAUGUGGAAAAAAUCUGUGUUUUUAUCAGUGAUAACAGCAACCUCUUGUAGCUCUCCAAACUGUAAAAAGUAAUGCCGCAUGGUAUCUCUUUGUGUUGCAUUGCUAGCCCUCCAGCAAACAUCUUGAGCAUCCAGGGCUUUUUCGGUCUGAAAGAAGGGAACCCAAAUGAGUGGAUACAGGUCGUUUUUGGCAUGAAACAAUGGAAACCCCAAGAGAAAAUUUGGAAGAUAAAUCAAGAUAUUUGUGGAUUUCAUUCUAAACUGCCAUAUUCCUUUGCAAUUUAUAGUGUACGUGUUAAUUAACGAAAUUAUGGCGGCCAUGAGUUAAGAGUUUUGAAUUUUGAUGUCAUAGUAUUUCUAUCAAAUAUACUGAAAAAAAGGCAUUAAAUUUAGUUAACAGAAAAAUGUUAGAUCUAUUUUUAUCUUUGUUUUUGCUCUUUUUAUUUUCCUGUUUUUUUUUGUUGGAGUAUUGAGAAUUUUUGCAUUGGAUUUUACACAUUUUUGAAAUUUGCCUUAUUGUGCCCUCAAAGUGUUCAAUAAAAUUUUCAGUAGAGGUUCUAGAUCUUAUCAAGGUAAAGAUGGAGCUAAAUAUGUACUGGCCAUGCUAAACAUGCAGAAAGUAAGCGAAAAGGAAGAAAACUUACCAAUUUUGCAAAAGAACCGAGAGUAUGAUUCACGAUUGGUAGAGUUGGAAUGGCUUGAACAAGCAUUCCCUCUCAUCACUUGAUUAUUCAAGUAAGUCACCACCUCUGAUAAUGAAAAUAAAUAUUCUUCCUUAUUGAUUAGGGAGUUCCAUGAAUGGAGUUUGGGCUCCAAAUCAUACUGCUGUGUAUACCAAUUCGAGGUCGAGAAAAACAUAUUAUUGGAUCCCAUUCGUUUUUUUUUCUUUUGGUCAAAAUUUACCCUGCACAUUAUUAUGUCACUCACAAAGCAUCAAUUGGCAUCAAACAUGAAGGGGCUGCUCAUGCAACAACAACCAUCAUAGCCAUGUUACCAACGCCCAUGAAGUGUGAUAGUUUCAACUGCAAUUCCCUAAGAAUGGCGAACAUUGAAGAUGGAAAUAUCAACGAGCUCAAUAGUUUAUGGCAGUCAAUGUGCUGAAUAGUAUUAUGGCAUUUAGAGUUUUGAAUUCAAGAUUGUAUCAAUUGUGAAAGGUUCUUUGAGCUUUCAUUUAUCAAAACCAUUUGGAGGAGCAAAGUUAUCAGCUAUGUUCAAAUAGUGCAAAGCUCAAGAAAGAUAAGCACUUGACAUCCGAAAAGAGCUAUAUGUAUUUUUUUUUUUGUAUAGAAGAAUAAAAGUCUUCUAAUGGAGAGAGAUACAUGUAA